GAUUAUACAAGGCAAAACUUGAAUCAACUACCUCAACUCUACUGACUGUCUAUGAAGCCUCGACCUCCAGCUAUCCCUAAUCAAAAUGACUGAAUAAAGGAGAAAAUACAAAAUUAUACUUGACUUGAGUCCUCGAAUCAAAAGAACCCAUCACCUACUGAUUGGAAGCUGCAAAUUGGCUGAGUCUGAAUGUGCAUACUAAAACUUGUACCUACAUUAUGAGACAAUGUAGCACAUAGACAUAUAUGUGGAUCAGUACUUUGAGGAUGUACUGAGUAUAUGGGGGUGAAUGCAUAAGUAAAAACAUAUCUCAUAAUCAUCAUUUAUAAAAUAAUGCAUGCUUAAUAUAAGUGACUCACAUAAGCUGAAAUAUCUGAAAUACUGAAAUAUGUAGCAAUAAGAAGUGAAGCAUGCUUUAUAAAUCUCGUGAGCCACAACAUUUAGUUCUAAAAGUUGUACUUGAAUUCUCUUGUGAAAAUCAUAUUGCCUAAGUGUAGAAAUGACUCACUCUUUAAAUCUAACUUCGUGAGCCUUUACACUUAGUUUUAUAAAAGCUUUUCUAUCAUUAUUUUCUUUUGAAACUUAGAGACUUUAGGAUCUUUGGAAUUCUUUUUGGAACUUAGGGACUUUGAGCUUGGGAGUUUCUUCUAACCGACAUAAACCAUGUGAGCUGACAUGAAGUCCAACGUCUUGCCCACGUUGGGGAGAGAUGUUCUAUCCUUGCCAUCAGAAUAGAAGCUCAACUUUAGUGAUCACUAUCUUAGCCCACUAUGGAAAAAUUAGAAACCUACGGUGAAACGUAGUUCGGGGACAUGAGACCUUGGAAUCAUACCCAACUUAGUGCUAAAUACUACUCUCAUACUUAAUGCCUAGAACUUUUUAGGAAAAUCCACCUUAAAAUAGCACAAUGGUCUAUAAUGAAAAUCAAUUAUGUUUCUCUUUACUUUGAAUCAUGAACUAGAUGAAUAACGUGGAUUCCCUAUCUUAGCUUAGGAUCAAAAGAUCAAAUCUUGUUUACAAAAGUCAUCUUUCUUGAAUACCAAGACUGAAACUUAUGGCUUACAACCCAUACUUGGAAAUUAUGUCAAAUCAUAAUAAACUUCAUGCUCACAAUAAUAGUAUUGAAAUACUUUAACAAACUCAAAAAUUCAUCUUUGGUUUUAAAGCAUAUAUAUAUUUAAAUGAUCACGAUUUCAUAAUGAAGCUUAAUUCUUGACAACUAUCUUGAAACACUUGAAAAUAGCAAUUUACAAUAGGGAUGUACAAUUCAUGGUAUAAAUCCUCAAUUCAAAGCAUAAAUAGGUGGAAUAAAGAUGCACUUCAAGUCUUAAACCACUUACAAGUUCAUAAACUUAAACAAGAUACUUUGGGCAUAUAAACCCCAACUUUCAAAUCAUAAAAUCUUUAAUAAAAUUCAAGUUUUGGGGCACAAGAAUGAAAGUUUUGUUCUUGUUCAAACCCCACAUACCUUAAUAGAUGAUCUUUGAUGAAUUGAAUGCAAAAUCUUGAAUCUUGGACUUCUAUUGAUACUUUGGUGAUGAAUUAUUAGAGCUUUUGUAUUGGGAACCCUUAAUCUUGAAUUUCCUUGGAGAAUAAUUGGAGGAAUUUGAAUUUCUUGGGAGGAAGUUUGAUGAGCUGGGGUUUUGCUUCUUGAGAUGAAAAGAUGAAUAAUGAAGUAUCUUUGCUUCUUUGGGGGUGAAAUUAUGUGUUUUGGACGGUUUUGGGUGAGGGGAAUUGACCAAAGUGCUAGGACCUUUUGGAAUAGAAUUAGAAUGAAACAUAGCUUUGGAUCCACGUUAAUUUUUUGUGUUAAGUCACAGUCGACGUGAUGUGUCAAGAUCGCAUCGGCUCACUGCCUCACAUGAAAAAUGCCAUAACUUUUUACUCGGUUAUCGAAUUUUUGCAAAAUUGGUAUUCUUGGAAAGCUAAUGCAAUUAACUACAAUUUGGUGGGUCUUGAGAUGAAAAAUUAUACGUAUAUAAAAAGUUAUACACAUUUAAAGUAGAUCUUUGUAGAAUCUAAUAUCAAACUUUGGACAAAUCAAAGGAUCUUAGCUCCACUAGGCUCUAAGUGACUUCUAUGAACAUUCUUCACCUCAAAAGCUUAUCAAACAUGAGGAUAAAGAUCAUGAAACUUAUAUUCACAUGGGAAUCACUAGGAUUAUAGAUUAUACAUGUAAGAACGACGGUUCAUAGACUAACCCAAAAAUGUGGGGUAUUAAAAAUGCAUUAGACAACACGCAAGGGCCCAUCUGUGAUAUUGGUAACAACAAGAUCCCCUAGCCAUGGGAGGUAGCCAUAUCAAUCCAAAUAAGGCACUGGACCCUAGGCUUGUCUAGCAAGUCAGAUACUAAAAGGAUAUAAGAAUUCAGCAGGGAGGAACUCUGAACUCUGAAUUCUGGGAUUGAAUAGUAUAUUGCCUUUCACAAGAUACAAAUAAUGCAUGAAAGUUACCAUGUUAAAAAAAAGAUACAAAUAAUGCAUGAAUUAGAGAAACUUUGAAUUCUCGGGUUAAAUAAUAUAAUGACUUUCAGAAGAUACAAAUAACCAGGUGUUUAUACAUUGAUACAUUUGUGCUGAGGCAAGUAAAUAAAUCCCAUGAUUUGUUUUAUUACAUUGCUUGUUGACUUUUACUGAUGAAACACUUAUCCCUCGUUUCUUUAUUGAACAUAUUUAGUCUUCUUUUCUCUCUUUGACAGCUAGGUAUAGUGUGCGAUCCUUCGGAAUCAGGCGUAAUGAGAAGAUAGCUUGCUAUGUUACUAUCAGAGGAGAUAAAGCUAUGCAGCUCCUUGAGAGUGGGUGAAGGAGGUUAAAUUAGUUACAAUGGCUACUAAUAUAUACUAAAGAUACUGUAAUGGUUUCAUGUCAAGGACAACAACGGAUGCAUAUCCAUGAUAUAAUAAGGAUUUCCUAAAGGAGAAAAUGCUUGAACAUGAGUCCAUAUUCAAGAAUUAGGUAAUUUUGGUUCUAGUAGUCAAUGUUUUCUUUCUAAUAAUUAGAAGAAUACUUAAGUUGCUUCGUGAUCAAGAAAAGGAUCUUUAGUUGUAAGUUUUGUUCCACAACUGGUGAUUUUCUUUUGUUGAAAAAAAUGAGUUUAGGUCUACUACUACAUCCUCCUAAAAUUAAUGGUACGACUACUUCACAGGUAAGUACCACAGGUAAGUUACAUGAGAUCUAACAACGUAAAUGACCAUUAGUUGAAUGACCCAGCCAAUUAAUGGUACUUCAAGUAAGUUAAAUGACCUAACUAAUUAAUGGUACUACUACUUCACAGGAAGGUUAUAGCAACUAUUCUAGUAUUCCACUCUUCACAGUCUCAUGUCCCUGAGUAGAUGGAUGAGAUACAUGACCUAUCAAACUAGUAUAAAAGACAGAGUUGUUCUGAUUCUAAGCACGCCUCACUUCCAACCUAAAGAUUAUGAGUUCCAGUCAGCAAGUUGCUACAAUUACAGUAAAAUAAAACCUCAUUCAGACACCAACCAUAUACAUGAAAGAUUAACCUCGAUCAGCUACCAACCAAAAUAGAACCUCAUUCAGCAAAAUAGAACCUUGAAAAGAAUUAACAAAAAUUACAUGUUACAUACACCAACCGCUUGCUACAGUUCAUGCAUUUCAAAUUUUUCAAACAAAUACAAUAAAUAUACAGAGGGGUGUGAGAAGGUAUAUGGUUACUAACUUGGAGAGCAUAAGGUAGUGGUCAUUCAUUUGAAAUUGGCAAUGUUGUAGCUCUGACUUCUUGUUGUUGAGCAGCAAAGAAUUCUUUCAUUUUCCUUAUUUCUUUCAUCUCAUCUUCUAAGGU
RNAcentral lists this long non-coding RNA (3798 nucleotides) under Capsicum annuum. RNAcentral describes it as "long non-coding RNA (CANN_LNC022473)". Lineage: Eukaryota; Viridiplantae; Streptophyta; Magnoliopsida; Solanales; Solanaceae. The record is from RNAcentral.